UGCGUAGGCGGCUUGGAAAGUUGGGUGUGAAAUCCCUCGGCUCAACCGAGGAAUUGCGCUCAAUACUGCCAAGCUAGAGGGAGACAGAGGUGAGCGGAACUCAGGGUGGAGCGGUGAAAUGCGUUGAUAUCCUGAGGAACACCAGUGGCGAAGGCGGCUCACUGGGUCUCUUCUGACGCUGAGGCACGAAAGCUGGGGGAGCGAACAGGAUUAGAUACCCUGGUAGUCC
This 229-nucleotide ribosomal RNA is filed under the name uncultured bacterium. RNAcentral's name for it is "partial 16S ribosomal RNA". It matches the Rfam family "Bacterial small subunit ribosomal RNA", at positions 568 to 796 of the family's 1533-position model. The record is from RNAcentral.